This 414-nucleotide ribosomal RNA is filed under the name uncultured bacterium. RNAcentral's name for it is "bacterial SSU rRNA". It matches the Rfam family "Bacterial small subunit ribosomal RNA", at positions 505 to 916 of the family's 1533-position model. The record is from RNAcentral.
GUGCCAGCAGCCGCGGUAAUACGAAGGGUGCAAGCGUUACUCGGAAUUACUGGGCGUAAAGCGUGCGUAGGUGGUUUGUUAAGUCUGUUGUGAAAGCCCCGGGCUCAACCUGGGAAUGGCAAUGGAUACUGGCAAGCUAGAGUGCGGUAGAGGGUAGUGGAAUUCCCGGUGUAGCGGUGAAAUACGUAGAUAUCUGGAGGAACACCGGUGGCGAAGGCGACAUCCUGGACCAACACUGACGCUGAGUGAGCGAAAGCCAGGGGAGCAAACGGGAUUAGAUACCCCGGUAGUCCUGGCCCUAAACGAUGAAUGCUUGGUGUGGCGGGUAUCGAUCCCUGCCGUGCCGAAGCUAACACAUUAAGCAUUCCGCCUGGGGAGUACGGUCGCAAGGCUGAAACUUAAAGGAAUUGACGG